This 253-nucleotide ribosomal RNA is filed under the name uncultured bacterium. RNAcentral describes it as "partial 16S ribosomal RNA". It matches the Rfam family "Bacterial small subunit ribosomal RNA", at positions 524 to 776 of the family's 1533-position model. The record is from RNAcentral.
UACAGAGGUCUCAAGCGUUGUUCGGAUUCAUUGGGCGUAAAGGGUGCGUAGGUGGCGCUGUAAGUCGGGUGUGAAAUCUCGGAGCUUAACUCCGAAACUGCAUUCGAUACUGCCGUGCUUGAGGACUGGAGAGGAGACUGGAAUUUACGGUGUAGCGGUGAAAUGCGUAGAUAUCGUAAGGAAGACCAGUGGCGAAGGCGGGUCUCUGGACAGUUCCUGACGCUGAGGCACGAAGGCCAGGGGAGCAAACGGG